UACGAAGGGUGCUAGCGUUGUUCGGAAUUACUGGGCGUAAAGCGUAUGCAGGCGGACUUUUAAGUCGGGGGUGAAAUCCCGAGGCUCAACCUCGGAACUGCCUUCGAUACUGGAAGUCUUGAGUCCGGGAGAGGUGAGUGGAACUCCGAGUGUAGAGGUGAAAUUCGUAGAUAUUCGGAAGAACACCAGUGGCGAAGGCGGCUCACUGGCCCGGUACUGACGCUGAGAUACGAAAGCGUGGGGAGCAAACAGG
Molecule: ribosomal RNA, 253 nt
Filed under: uncultured bacterium
Lineage: Bacteria
Description: partial 16S ribosomal RNA
Rfam family: Bacterial small subunit ribosomal RNA
Source: RNAcentral